GGAUUAUAAAUUAAAAAAAAACUUGAAAAGAUUUGUCCAUUUUAAAGGUAUUCUCAAAGAACCAAACUUUUAUUGAUUAUAUCUGCUGAGUGGUUUUCCUGACUGAUUUUCCAGUGCUUUUCUGUCUGAAUUCUUUUCUGGGUUUCAGGAUAUAUUUCUUGGUUCAGAAAAGUCUUAAGCCGAGGAGCACACGUGUGGAAAGGAACGUUUGUUCAGCAAACAUUGAGUCCCUGUAUUAUGCUUGCUGGGGAUUUCAGGGGCAAGACCGGGGCCUGACUCCACAGGACCACAUGAUUCUAGCCUAGUGGGAAGACUAAGAAAAUAGACAAUUGCAAAUUCCAAAAACAAAACAAAACAAACAAACAAAAAAGGCUUUUGUGGCCCUACUCUCCUGUGGAGGCACCUGGAUGAUAAAUGAAGCCAAGAUUAUUGCUUAUUUUGCUCUCCCUUAGAAACCAGCUUUCUGUCAUAGGUCAAGCUUGCUUAAAAGUCACAAAUAGGCCUCCCUCUGAAAGAUCUCUGACCCUUCCCAGCAGGGAGCCUGUAGCCCAACCCCUCCCAAGGUGACUGCCAAAUCAGCAUUCUCUGCCCAACAGCACUCGCCACCUUACCAAGGCAGCACCGGCAGCACCCUGCCCUCUCUUCCUGAAACACCUUUCAGGAAAAGGAAAAGUAGAUGCCUCUUCUGGAACACAGCAGGAGCAUGCUCUCCAGUUCUGCUGGUCUCUGGGCUCCUAGUGUGACAUGGUACCUGCUGGACCCCAUGGGGCCUAGGUCUGGGCUUCUUUAGGAGCUAGUCUGUGUCCUGCUCUGGGCCUUCGUGUCCUUAUAGGUAAAGUGUAGUCUUUGGAGCAAACACAACCUUCCUAGCCCUAAUAUACAGGGAAUCUUUUUUCCUAGGAUCUUAGGAUCCUCCUGGAUACAUUUGAGGAAGGUGACUAAGCUCUGGGAAGGUGGCAGUGCCCUUGCAGGGCAGCCUGCAUAUGCUUUAUGCUUUAGCCAGUGUGCCCUGCUAUGCCUCUGUCAGGAAGCCUUCCUGGAUUUCUUCCCUCACCCUGGAGAUCCGCUUGCCUAAAGCACUUUACUUAGCCCUCUGUUUAAUGCUGGUGUCAGGGCUACGCAACUUUCUUUUGUAAUGAUUGGGCUCCUCUUAUCUUCCAAGGGGGCCUGAGUUGUUAGUAUUCAAUCAGCAGGUCCUUAUCAGACUCCCAUGUAGGAAUGCAGGACUUUGGGCCACAUAGUGGACAAGGUGGAUAGUCCGUGACAUCAAGGAAUCGUCUGGAUGUGUGUGUAUGUGUGUUGUGUACACAUGUAAA
Long non-coding RNA from Phyllostomus discolor (pale spear-nosed bat), 1316 nucleotides. RefSeq lists it as uncharacterized. The record is from RefSeq and is a predicted model, not a curated record. Lineage: Eukaryota; Metazoa; Chordata; Mammalia; Chiroptera; Phyllostomidae. The transcript has 3 exons.